CAGCCGCCGGGUAAUACAGAGGGUGCGAGCGUUAAUCGGAUUUACUGGGCGUAAAGCGUGCGUAGGCGGCUUUUUAAGUCGGAUGUGAAAUCCCUGAGCUUAACUUAGGAAUUGCAUUCGAUACUGGGAAGCUAGAGUAUGGGAGAGGAUGGUAGAAUUCCAGGUGUAGCGGUGAAAUGCGUAGAGAUCUGGAGGAAUACCGAUGGCGAAGGCAGCCAUCUGGCCUAAUACUGACGCUGAGGUACGAAAGCAUGGGGAGCAAACAGGAUUAGAUACCCCUGUAGUCCCUGUCUCUUAUACA
This 301-nucleotide ribosomal RNA is filed under the name uncultured bacterium. RNAcentral's name for it is "partial 16S ribosomal RNA". It matches the Rfam family "Bacterial small subunit ribosomal RNA", at positions 512 to 808 of the family's 1533-position model. The record is from RNAcentral.